GUGCACCAGGCGCGAAACCUCCGCAAUGCGCGAAAGCGCGACGGGGUUACCCCGAGUGCCGUCCGCUGAGGACGGCUUUUGCCCAGUGUAGCCAGCUGGGCGAAUAAGGAGAGGGCAAGUCUGGUGUCAGCCGCCGCGGUAAUACCAGCUCUCCGAGUGGUGGGGACGCUUAUUGGGCCUAAAGCAUCCGUAGCCGGUCUGGCAAGUCCCUUGUUAAAUCCAACGAUUCAAUCGUUGGACUACAAGGGAUACUGCCAGACUAGGGGGCGGGAGAGGCCGACGGUAUUCCCGGGGUAGGGGUGAAAUCCUAUAAUCCCGGGAGGACCACCAGUGGCGAAGGCUGUCGGCUAGAACGCGCCCGACGGUGAGGGAUGAAAGCUGGGGGAGCGAACCGGAUUAGAUACCCCUGUAGU
This 413-nucleotide ribosomal RNA is filed under the name uncultured microorganism. RNAcentral's name for it is "bacterial SSU rRNA". It matches the Rfam family "Archaeal small subunit ribosomal RNA", at positions 330 to 745 of the family's 1478-position model. The record is from RNAcentral.